GAACCCGUGGCGCAGUGGUAGCGCGUAUGAUUCCAGUGCUAGAGAAAGCGGGAUUUCCAUAAGGUCAUCCGUUCAAUCCGGGUCGGGUUCA
Molecule: non-coding RNA, 91 nt
Organism: Leucogyrophana mollusca
Lineage: Eukaryota; Fungi; Basidiomycota; Agaricomycetes; Boletales
Source: the annotation of a GenBank genome assembly